RNAcentral lists this ribosomal RNA (479 nucleotides) under uncultured bacterium. RNAcentral's name for it is "partial 16S ribosomal RNA". It matches the Rfam family "Bacterial small subunit ribosomal RNA", at positions 28 to 507 of the family's 1533-position model. The record is from RNAcentral.
GAUGAACGCUGGCGGCGUGCUUAACACAUGCAAGUCGAGCGAGAAGUUUUGAAAAGAUUCUUCGGAUGAAAUUUAAAAUGGAAAGCGGCGGACGGGUGAGUAACGCGUAGGCAACCUGCCCCAUACAAAGGGAUAGCAUUUGGAAACGAAUAUUAAUACCUUAUGAAACUUAACUAGUGCAUGCUAGGUAGGUCAAAGAUUUAUCGGUAUGGGAUGGGCCAGCGUCUGAUUAGCUAGUUGGUGAGGUAACGGCUCACCAAGGCGACGAUCAGUAGCCGACCUGAGAGGGUGAACGGCCACAUUGGAACUGAGACACGGUCCAAACUCCUACGGGAGGCAGCAGUGGGGAAUAUUGCACAAUGGGGGAAACCCUGAUGCAGCAACGCCGCGUGAACGAUGAAGGCCUUUGGGUCGUAAAGUUCUGUUCUAGGUGAUGAAAACUGACAGUAACCUAGGAGAAAGCCCCGGCUAACUCCGUG